RNAcentral lists this ribosomal RNA (429 nucleotides) under Actinomycetes bacterium. RNAcentral describes it as "Actinobacteria bacterium partial 16S ribosomal RNA". It matches the Rfam family "Bacterial small subunit ribosomal RNA", at positions 355 to 776 of the family's 1533-position model. Lineage: Bacteria; Bacillati; Actinomycetota; Actinomycetes. The record is from RNAcentral.
UAGGGAAUCUUCCGCAAUGGGCGAAAGCUUGACGGAGCAACGCCGCGUGAGUGAUGAAGGUCUUCGGAACGUAAAACUCUGUUAUUAGGGAAGAACAAAUGUGUAAGUAACUAUGCACGUCUUGACGGUACCUAAUCAGAAAGCCACGGCUAACUACGUGCCAGCAGCCGCGGCAAUACGUAGGUGGCAAGCGUUAUCCGGAAUUAUUGGGCGUAAAGCGCGCGUAGGCGGUUUUUUAAGUCUGAUGUGAAAGCCCACGGCUCAACCGUGGAGGGUAAUUGGAAACUGGAAAACUUGAGUGCAGAAGAGGAAAGUGGAAUUCCAUGUGUAGCGGUGAAAUGCGCAGAGAUAUGGAGGAACACCAGUGGCGAAGGCGACUUUCUGGUCUGUAACUGAAGCUGAUGUGCGAAAGCGUGGGGAUCAAACAGG